UCAUGACACGUGAUCAACGAACAAAAUGGCGGAAGCUAUGAAAAAGGGCCAAAAAGUGCUAUAUAUUUGAUGUUUAAAUGCAGAAAAAGGCUACAAUAUAGCCCAAAAUACUAUUUGAAUCAUCGAGGCACGCCAAGAAGACAAUGAAAUGAAAUACACAAAGGAAAUCAGGUUCUGUUCCAGACAGUGUAACAUACCUGUAACAUGCAGCCUGCACUCAGGCUACAAAGAAUGCAGCACAACCGUCUAAUAUCAGAUACAUAGACAAUGAUUACACCGGCUGACAUGUGAUAUCCAUGAACAUUGCUGUAGCUGUGCUUUAGCACAUUUGAAAACCAUGACGAGAUGUCAAUCAUCUGUCAUCACCUGAGCUGCUCANCAGUGCNGUCAGCCAAGUACAAAUGUACAGUCUGGUCGAACUGACAUUCAGAUAUGAUGAAUGAUCUUUCAGAGAUCUAACAAACCCAGAGCUGCCAGAAUUACCUUGAGAACAAUGAACUUUCUGAAAUGAGAGAAGUGGAGUGCAGUCAUUCUACAAUAGGUUUCUUAGGACUGUACUCCAUAAAAAUAAGGAUUGAAUCUAGAACUUUUUGUGGGUUGGGGGACUGGCUCUUAAGGUUAAGUUAGGUUUUCUGGUUCUUUAAGGUUUCUUUUUUGCAAGAUGAUUUUCCACUCGAUAGAAGUCCAACGAAUAUGGAGGAAAUGUCAUAGAAAUGACACAUCAUGACAAGAUAUAGUUGACAAAAUGACAGAAACAUGUGCUGCCAGUCCUCCAACCCAAAGCAGUAGAUACAGGAGAGUGUCCUUUUAGUAUGAGCUGACGGAAAGUUGAUUUGAUUUACAGUGUUCUGACUCCGAGCAUAUUUCCAUCACUAUUUUUCCUUGAUUCAAACUUGGUGCUUAGGGCUUCAUCUGCCAUGNAGGUUUUGUGUUUGAUUGAUAGGACACUCUCCUGUAUCUAUUGCUUUUCAUUGUCAAAAUGGAAAUAAAGAACAUGCCUCCCUGAGGCCCUGCCAGCACCAAAAGAGAAGCCACCCCAGCAGGCCUAAUCUCUUUGGUAGUCUCGCUGCCCUGACUAGAGCNAACCGGUUAUAAGGCCAAGACCAGCAAACCUAAGACUGCCCUGAUACUGGAGACUGACUGCAUGAAUGUCGAACCGCCACCCACUGCAGACUCCAAGGGGGAACUCUGAUGCCAUUCAAGUCAGCAAAUAAGGUGAGGGUCAGUGCAAAUGUGAGUCUCCGGUGACCCUGCCCAACCAUUCACUGGUGUGCAUGGCAGUGAUGUACUGGGUGAUCAGUAGGCUUGAAGUGAUGCUUCAUUCAGACUUCUCCAAACUAAGUGAUUAUCAAACUGACAUGGAAGACUUAAAAACCUUUUUUUCUGGGAUAAUAUUGUGGGGUUAAAUGUUAUCAGCAGCUGUUAAAAUGGCCUCUACCACAGAUUACAAUUUAAUUGAAGUUUUUUCACCAGCAAAGUGAAGACCUCAGAUCCCUAAACAACUUAAUUUAUAACAUAACAAUGUAAAAAUGCUACGAAUGUGACUUGAGAUGAGAUAUUUGAAAAGGAUUCACUAAAAUGUGUCAAAUCCUGCGCUGGUAAAUGAGACUUGAAUCAGAACUGUUUUCACUACAAGCAAAAACAAACAAUGUACUCGUCAGGACCAAGGCAUUAAUUUAAGUGAGGUAAAAUUACUGUAACUAAACAGAAAAGAGCAAAAUCUGUUGAGCAGUUGUUUCAAGGUUUACAUAAUAUAUUUCAGUCUCUGCAAUGUCUCUGUUGAAGCCAUUUAAAAAGAAACAAAGCAAUAUUACAUAAACAAGGAUCUGAGGUCUUCAAAAAUUGUAUUUUUCAAAUCUCUUUUUUCAACAAAUCUAUGGAAAAAUGGAAAGAUUUUACUUGUUCAAAUUGUUUGAAUUUUUUCGUGCAGUUAUGAAAUUUACCAAAUUACACAAAUUUGACAGUGAAUCAAAUGUACAAGCCAGAAAGAAGGCAAUUACAAAAUGUACAAAGCAGUGAACUUAGCAAUAAGAACUUAGCAAUAUAAAAGUACGCAAUAUUAAUGAUCUAGAGGUGAAAGGUGACUCAUUGAAGAUGGGAAGAAACACCAAACCUCAGAAAUACAAAGUCUAUAAUUGUGACAAGAAGUCAAAAGAGGAUGUUACGCCUCUAGCUGUAACUGACAACUGCUUGAAGCUCAAAUUGACUAAAAUGUUUGCUUUGACGUAACAGUGCACUUGUCUAGAAGUACACUUAUCUGUUUUGCUCCCUAGAACACUUAAAUUUCCUAUAUUUGGUGAAUGAUUACGCAGCCAAAUAUAGUUGUUGACAUUAUUACAGCGGCUCUUGCACUUGUCGAAAGUUUCUUUGCUGGUGAAAAAACUAUCUUAGGCUGACAUUAAAAUAAAACAUAAAUCUUUCUGUAUUUGCCACCAUUUCUUAGGACACUAAACAAAUAAACAUAUCUUUCUAUGGAGAAUGUUUGCGAUGUUUGGCAGUGAUUUAAAUAAUUCAAAAUGGCUUCUAUGUUAAUCAAUUCAAAAUGGCUUCUAGACUUAUCAAUUCAA
This 2567-nucleotide long non-coding RNA is filed under the name Exaiptasia diaphana. Its description in RNAcentral is "uncharacterized LOC110242979". Lineage: Eukaryota; Metazoa; Cnidaria; Anthozoa; Actiniaria; Aiptasiidae. The record is from RNAcentral.